GACCAACUAAGUUUGUUAUGGGUAUGAGCUUUCGUGUGCAUGCACACUUCUUCAGAUACACAGUGUGCAUGCACAUGAAAGCUCAUACCCAUAACAAAUUUAGUUGGUC
RNAcentral lists this microRNA precursor (109 nucleotides) under Podarcis lilfordi (Lilford's wall lizard). Lineage: Eukaryota; Metazoa; Chordata; Lepidosauria; Squamata; Lacertidae. The record is from RNAcentral.